AAUGAACGCUGGCGGCAUGCCUAACACAUGCAAGUCGAACGAGACCUUCGGGUCUAGUGGCGCAGGGGUGCGUAACGCGUGGGAACCUGCCCUUAGGUUCGGAAUAACUCCCCGAAAGGGGUGCUAAUACCGGAUAAUGUCUUCGGACCAAAGAUUUAUCGCCUUUGGAUGGGCCCGCGUUGGAUUAGCUAGUUGGUAGGGUAAAAGCCUACCAAGGCGACGAUCCAUAGCUGGUCUGAGAGGAUGAUCAGCCACACUGGGACUGAGACACGGCCCAGACUCCUACGGGAGGCAGCAGUGGGGAAUAUUGGACAAUGGGCGAAAGCCUGAUCCAGCAAUGCCGCGUGAGUGAUGAAGGCCUUAGGGUUGUAAAGCUCUUUUACCCGGGAUGAUAAUGACAGUACCGGGAGAAUAAGCUCCGGCUAACUCCGCG
This 433-nucleotide ribosomal RNA is filed under the name uncultured bacterium. Its description in RNAcentral is "partial 16S ribosomal RNA". It matches the Rfam family "Bacterial small subunit ribosomal RNA", at positions 29 to 507 of the family's 1533-position model. The record is from RNAcentral.